AUGUGGCAACCUACUCGUCGAUUAUUUCGAUGCAGAGAGGAAAAUCUGCACAAAUCCGUGUGACUGCCAGCAUCACCGCAAGUUUUUCGGGCACGGCCGAGGCACAACGCGCAACGGUUUGAACAACCGUCACGUUCAUAUCGUCGUCGACUCGUAAAGCAAUAUGGAAGAUGCGUACGAUUCUCUUAAACACAGCAGCCGUGGCCGUGGGGGUUACCGCACCAGUGGGAUAUUUUGGAGUAGGAGCGCUCUGUGAGGGAAAGCGCUUUUCCGCGCACCGUUAAAAAAGAAUGCCAGAAAGUAGAAGGGAAAAGACACCUGCUCCAGCGGUGUGGCCACGGUGGAAUUGAUCGGAGGAUGUGGAGCAUUGGCACGGAGCAGCAGCAACAGCAAACAAGUGUGCAUUCGCCGGGUAAUUAUGUGCGUCGUUUCGAGUAAGUGUGUGUUGCGCCAGCGUGCGUUGUCCGUGCGCUCUUAGCUCGUGUGCACGUGUGAUAAGCGUGCAUGCGUGUGUGUGCGUGUGUGUAUGUGAAGAAGAAAGAAAAGAAAGUAAGCAGAGCGCUCGGUGAAUGUGUGAAGGAAUAAGAGGAAGGAAAGUGAUAGAAAAAAAAAUCGAAUAAGUGAAAAAAAAGAGAAGAAGUAUUACUGAAAAAGCAAAUUCGUCAUCUUCCGCCGUGUUUUGUGCGCACGUUUGUUUGUGUUUUUUGCAUUAUUAUUUGUUUGGAAAUUGCGUCAUGCAGCGGUGCGCCGCCGCACGUGUGCCCGCAAAGUGUAUGUGUGUACGAUUGUCAUGAAUAUUGUGCCGCGUGAAACCGAAUUGCAACCAGAAACGUUCUUCUCUUGGGGCGUAGAAGGACGCGCGCGAGUGUAAAGUGCGUGUGUGUGUGUGUGCGCCUCUGUGUCGGUGCUCGUGUGUGUAUAGUGUUGUUUUUGUUCACUUCGGAGCCCCCCCCCCCCUCCCCCCCUGAAGCAGGCGU
Anopheles nili is the source of this 977-nucleotide long non-coding RNA. RefSeq lists it as uncharacterized. The record is from RefSeq and is a predicted model, not a curated record. Lineage: Eukaryota; Metazoa; Arthropoda; Insecta; Diptera; Culicidae. The transcript has 3 exons.